AGCAAAUGCUCUGAAGUCAGCAUAGCACUUUGGACUAUUCUCUAACAGACAGGAGCCAGCCUGGAAGUGUGCUCAGGCCCCACUCAGAGAGGCGGGAGCCAGGCCCAGAGAGGCCAUCCUUGCAGGCUCUGGAGCACCCAAACCCAGCACCAGGGGGCACUCCAGGCCCAGGGUGACCCAGACACCCUUUAGUGACCAAGGGUCCUGCCUUGAACAAGCAAAGCCCACUUGUGUUUUCACCAACAAACACUCGCUGAGCACCUGCCAUGGGCCAGGAUGGUUUGGGUGCUGGACACACAGACAAUGACCCCAUCUU
Molecule: non-coding RNA, 316 nt
Organism: Manis javanica (Malayan pangolin)
Lineage: Eukaryota; Metazoa; Chordata; Mammalia; Pholidota; Manidae
Source: RefSeq, a predicted model, not a curated record